Carassius auratus (goldfish) is the source of this 1321-nucleotide long non-coding RNA. RefSeq lists it as uncharacterized. The transcript has 5 exons. The record is from RefSeq and is a predicted model, not a curated record. NCBI's taxonomy places the organism in Eukaryota, Metazoa, Chordata, Actinopteri, Cypriniformes, Cyprinidae.
UCAAUUGAUUCAUUGAAGUGAACCGACUCAUUCGUGAACAAAUUAGACUUAGUCACUAAAAGCCCGUCCUUAACGUAUUCUUUUCACAAACAACACAUAUAGUAUACAUUUAAUUAAGAAUUUAAAUAAAGAGUGAGUCUACUUUGUCUGAAAAAUACUGAUAUAGUGUUAAAGUCUAUAUAUCUAUAAAUGUGGAACUGUUGUCUUCAGGUUGUUGUCAGUCGGAUUUCAGUCACAGAUGGGUCAUUUAGGAUGACGCCAGAAAGAUGGUGCUGCAGUUGUAACCAUAGGCCCGUUUCCAUUGUGACCCGGCUCGUCAGUACUCUGAGCGGGGGAGACACGAACAAAAGCAGAAGGUUGUGGUGGUCGGGAUCCCGAACCCCUUCAUCUGGAUCCGAACCCACAUCUACCUCUUCCUUAUCUGAGCUUCACGGAAGGAGCCACACAGUUCGAGGCUCUUGAAGGAUUAGUAGCUAAAGAUCUAAUAGGGAAACUUGAGGAAAAAUGCGCUAAGUUGUCUUUGAGCCACCAGAGGGCGCUGUCAGCUGAGUCUGAUGAGAUCAUGCACACAACAACAGGAGAUGUGGGCAUUCAAUAUGAUGAGAGUGGUGAGACCCUGUAAACUCAUUACCACGCAAUAUUCGCCCAGUGAUGAGUGCCAGACUUCCUGAUGAGAGUAUGGAGGGAGCAAGGAAAUUCCAGGUUGUCAUUGGUGGAGAGGGAGAGAGACCAGAGACCAAGAGAUUGCUGACAGCCAAUUAUGAAUUCCAAAGGGAGUUUACCCAAAGUGUGACUUCAGAUUGGAUCAUCAUCAGGAUAAAGCACUCAAAACUUCAUGACUAAGUGUGACUGGAGAGGGUUUUUUUUCAUGCUUUUUUAUUGCUCAUAAUGCCAAAACAUGUAGGGUCAAUUCACUAACCUUUACUGGAAAAAAUAACGCUGAAAUAUUGUCAGCUCCAGGUGCUUCCCAGGUGCUAUGGAAGGUUAUAAAUGUUGAUUUGCUGUAUGCUUCAGUGCAUUUCAUCUCACUGAUUUUACAUUCUUAACGUUGUUUUUUUUUACACUUUGUAUGAUGAGUUUUGGGGUGAAGCUGACUGCACAUUGUGAAAACUGCAACUGAACUGUAAAACUAUACAAGAAAAGUCAGGAGGAAAAAAAAGCAAUUCUUUAAAGCCACAAAGACCACUGCCUGGAUACUUUGAAAGACAGACUUAUACAGAAUGAUGAACUGACCAAUAAGUUAUGUAACGUUUUAUCAAAACCUCCAUGUUAUGUGAAACAUUGUGCAUAAAACAACAUGAUUGUGGCGAGUGGGGCGGGG